GAGGGGAGAGGCGGGGGAGGCUCCCGCUCGCUCCCUCCCUCCGCCGCCGCUGCUCGCGAGAAACUCCCCUCCCGCUCAGUGCCCGCCGCUGCUGGGCGGGCUGCCCGGCGCCAUGCGUGCGCCCCGCACCCGAGCUGCCACACGGGGUGGGGGGGGGUGCCUGCCUGCCUCGCUCGGCCCUAGCCGAGGCUCCCCUGCCGGUUCAGCUCCGCCUUGCCCUCUUCGGCAGCCGCUGGAAGCGCCUGGGGGCUUUGGGACCGGACAGCGGCUCUGCCUCCCGCCCGCGCGUGGCGCGGCCGUGAGUGUCAAGUGCGGGGCUCGCUCUGCAAAGUCUCCUUUCCUGCAGGAGUUAUUGCGAAGAAAAAUAUUGGAGAAAAUCAUUCCCACUAAAAAUCCAAGCAGCCACAAUGCUAGAUUAUAACAGAAAAUGUCUCUCAGCAUCCACUUUAAAUGUUAACCCCACGCACCCAAAGUCACAGUAAUGACCAAAUCCUGCCCGUGUGAUUUAUAGAAGUAAUCCCAUUUACUUCAGGGAAACCACCUACUUGACUAAGGGGAAGCUUAAGCCUCAAGAUUGAGAUUCCAGUGCUGACUGGACUGCCCUGAAUAUAAACAUUGGACUAUAACCUAUGGACCAAUUCUGAAAUAACUUUUUGCAACUACAAAGCUCACCAUCUCUGCUAUGAAUCUGAACCUCAAGAAUUAUACUCUUGUCUAUUUGUAUACUGAUCUGUUAACCAA
Molecule: long non-coding RNA, 741 nt
Organism: Chelonia mydas (Green sea turtle)
Lineage: Eukaryota; Metazoa; Chordata; Testudines; Cheloniidae
Exons: 3
Source: RefSeq, a predicted model, not a curated record